RNAcentral lists this ribosomal RNA (497 nucleotides) under uncultured bacterium. RNAcentral's name for it is "partial 16S ribosomal RNA". It matches the Rfam family "Bacterial small subunit ribosomal RNA", at positions 28 to 507 of the family's 1533-position model. The record is from RNAcentral.
GAUGAACGCUGGCGGCGUGCCUAAUACAUGCAAGUCGAGCGAACAGAUAAGGAGCUUGCUCCUUUGACGUUAGCGGCGGACGGGUGAGUAACACGUGGGUAACCUACCUAUAAGACUGGAAUAACUCCGGGAAACCGUGGCUAAUGCCGGAUAACAUUUAGAACCGCAUGGUUCUAAAUUGAAAGAUGGUUUUGCUAUCAUUUAUAGAUGGACCCGCGCCUUAUUAGCUAUUUGGUAAGGUAACGGCUUACCAAGGCAACGAUACGUAGCCGACCUGAGAGGGUGAUCGGCCACACUGGAACUGAGACACGGCCAAGACUCCUCCGGGAGGAAGCAGUAGGGAAUCUUCCGAAAUGGGGGAAAGCCUGACGGAGAAAGGCCGCGUGAGUGAUGAAGGUCUUGGGAUCGUAAAACUCUGUUAUUGGGGAAGAACAAAUGUGUAAGUAACUGUGCACGUCUUGACGGUACCUAAUCAGAAAGCCACGGCUAACUACGUG